UCUUUCAUUAAAUGUAUAAAACAUCAACUAACAACUCAACAAAUAAUACAAAUACAGUUGCAUAAAUCACUAAAAUCACCUUGUAUAAACGAGUAAGUGUAUUUUACUGAUGAUGUUUUAGAAUACAUGGGAUGUUACUUGGAUGACGCCAAGAGGAUGAUCGCUGCUAUUUGGGUUGAUCGGAGCGACAUGACCCAUGGGUGGUGUUUUAAUAAUUGCAGGAAGGGUCAUCACAAGUAUGCAGCGUUGCAGUAUUACACACAUUGCUUCUGUGGAGAUUCCAUCAACAUAGUCAGAUAUCCAAAGAAACCGGAAAGUGACUGCAAUCAACCUUGCAGGGGAAACACAAGUGAGAUGUGUGGCGGGACUUGGAGAAAUUCCCUUUACAGGUUGUUCUAACAAUAAAAUCACCAGCCGAUCAA
This is a long non-coding RNA of Haliotis rufescens (red abalone), 422 nucleotides long. RefSeq lists it as uncharacterized. NCBI's taxonomy places the organism in Eukaryota, Metazoa, Mollusca, Gastropoda, Lepetellida, Haliotidae. The record is from RefSeq and is a predicted model, not a curated record. The transcript is spliced from 2 exons.